AGCUUCCAUCUUUCAGUUUCAUCCCCAAAGCUCCAGCAGCAAGCUUCAGGAAAAUACCUGUGAUAAUGGCUGAGGAUAGUGUCAGUUGCCCUUGAUGAGUGAUCGAGGGGGGCAAUUAGGACAUUCAAAAUUUUUUACAAAGGAUAAGGGAAACUUUUGGAAGGUGAGGGGGGGUCUUUGUUGACACCCUCCCUCCGCCCCUGCUUCACAUUUACCCCUCAAGGAAAAUUUUUAUCGUGGUUGGCACUGUCUCGUCUUUCCUUCAAGUUCAAGUAUGACUCAUGAAUCUCCAGCCACAACGAUCCACAACUCUGAAAAAAGACUUGCUCCAAAAUCAUUUCUUUCCUAGCUUUCAAGAUUGAGAAUGGCGCUUCUGGCUUCAGCUCCGCUCCAUCUGUGCUAUUUUGUCUUCACAACUCUACAUGCUACAGCUACAAGCCCAGAAGGACGGAUCAGAUUAGAUCAGAUCUUGUGACUUGUGGCUUGGAAAAAAAAAUCAUGGAGCAACAAGACGAGUGAAGAGAAUUGAAUUAAAUUGUAAGGUAUAUUCAUAUGUUUU
Long non-coding RNA from Alnus glutinosa, 559 nucleotides. RefSeq lists it as uncharacterized. Lineage: Eukaryota; Viridiplantae; Streptophyta; Magnoliopsida; Fagales; Betulaceae. The record is from RefSeq and is a predicted model, not a curated record. The transcript has 3 exons.